Molecule: small RNA, 342 nt
Filed under: Mus spicilegus (steppe mouse)
Lineage: Eukaryota; Metazoa; Chordata; Mammalia; Rodentia; Muridae
Description: 7SK RNA (ENSMSIG00000022390.1)
Rfam family: 7SK RNA (bases 1-278)
About the family: 7SK was discovered as an abundant small nuclear RNA in the mid-70s but a possible function has only recently been suggested. Two independent studies have found that 7SK RNA binds the CDK9/cyclin T complex (known as elongation factor P-TEFb).
Source: RNAcentral
AGAUGUGAGGACCAGCUACCUGAGAAACCUGCUACGUCAUUUGUCACCAGUGUUGAUCUGGCUGAUCUGGCUAGCUUCAGGGUGGUCCCUUCCUCCCUCACUGCUCUGUGUGUGUGUGUCCUGAAGCUAAACCUGUGCACUCAGUCAAAGAGGCAUCUUCCCCAAAUAGAGGAUUGGUCUUCGGUCAAGGGUAUAUGAGAAAGAACUCUUCACAAACCAAUCAGCCCUGUAAUUACUUGCAGAAACUGCAUAGGGGCAGGACUCAGGUGUUGUAAUUUGUCAAAAGAUGCUUACUCACAAAGACCACAGAGACCGCCAUCGUUGCAAGACACAUGAGGAUUU